AAAACAUGUGUCCUGUGUUGUUAUGGGCCCCACACUUCAAGAAGGAUAUGAACAGUUUGGAAAGUGUCUAGCACAGACAACAACAAUUAUUAAAGGCCUGGGAAGUAAGACUUAUGAGGAAUGGCUGAAAGAGAUAGGAUUAUUUAGUUUGGGGAAGAGACAAUUGAGGGGGGAACU
Molecule: long non-coding RNA, 177 nt
Organism: Gavialis gangeticus (Gharial)
Lineage: Eukaryota; Metazoa; Chordata; Crocodylia; Gavialidae
Exons: 3
Source: RefSeq, a predicted model, not a curated record